Molecule: ribosomal RNA, 252 nt
Filed under: uncultured bacterium
Lineage: Bacteria
Description: partial 16S ribosomal RNA
Rfam family: Bacterial small subunit ribosomal RNA
Source: RNAcentral
UACGGAGGGUGCAAGCGUUAUCCGGAAUCACUGGGUUUAAAGGGUGCGUAGGCGGCUAAAUAAGUCAGAGGUGAAAGCUUGCAGCUUAACUGCGAAAUUGCCUUUGAUACUGUAUAGCUUGAAAGGAGCUGAGGUCAGCAGAAUGUGGCAUGUAGCGGUGAAAUGCAUAGAUAUGCCAUAGAAUACCAAUUGCGAAGGCAGCUGGCUGGGCUACUUUGACGCUGAGGCACGAAAGCGUGGGGAUCGAACAGG